This 71-nucleotide transfer RNA is filed under the name Loxodonta africana (African savanna elephant). It matches the Rfam family "tRNA". Rfam says of the family: Transfer RNA (tRNA) molecules are approximately 80 nucleotides in length. Their secondary structure includes four short double-helical elements and three loops (D, anti-codon, and T loops). The record is from Rfam by way of RNAcentral. Lineage: Eukaryota; Metazoa; Chordata; Mammalia; Proboscidea; Elephantidae.
GCAUUGAUGGUUCUCUAGUAGAAUUCUUGCCUUCCAUGCAGGAGACCUGGGUUUGAUUCCUGACCAAGGCA